This 39-nucleotide ribosomal RNA is filed under the name Pratylenchus zeae. RNAcentral describes it as "partial 18S ribosomal RNA". The record is from RNAcentral. RNAcentral also lists the same sequence under 1 other name. Lineage: Eukaryota; Metazoa; Nematoda; Chromadorea; Rhabditida; Pratylenchidae.
CAAGGUAGCUGUAGGUGAACCUGCUGCUGGAUCAUUACA